RNAcentral lists this ribosomal RNA (591 nucleotides) under Hemitragus jemlahicus (Himalayan tahr). Its description in RNAcentral is "partial 16S ribosomal RNA". It matches the Rfam family "Bacterial large subunit ribosomal RNA", at positions 1798 to 2619 of the family's 2925-position model. The record is from RNAcentral. Lineage: Eukaryota; Metazoa; Chordata; Mammalia; Artiodactyla; Bovidae.
GCCUGUUUACCAAAAACAUCACCUCCAGCAUCCCUAGUAUUGGAGGCACUGCCUGCCCAGUGACUAAACGUUAAACGGCCGCGGUAUUCUGACCGUGCAAAGGUAGCAUAAUCAUUUGUUCUCUAAAUAAGGACUUGUAUGAACGGCCACACGAGGGUUUUACUGUCUCUUACUUCCAAUCAGUGAAAUUGACCUUCCCGUGAAGAGGCGGGAAUAAAUUAACAAGACGAGAAGACCCUAUGGAGCUUUAACUAACUAGCCCAAAAAGAAAUAUACUUAACCACCAAGGGAUAACAAUACCCUUUAUGGACUAGCAGUUUUGGUUGGGGUGACCUCGGAGAACAAGAAAACCUCCGAGCGAUUUUAAAAACUAGACCUACAAGUCAAACCAAAUUAUCGCUUAUUGAUCCAAAAUAUUUGAUCAACGGAACAAGUUACCCUAGGGAUAACAGCGCAAUCCUAUUCAAGAGUCCAUAUCGACAAUAGGGUUUACGACCUCGAUGUUGGAUCAGGACACCCCGAUGGUGCAACCGCUAUCAAAGGUUCGUUUGUUCAACGAUUAAAGUCCUACGUGAUCUGAGUUCAGACCGG